This is a non-coding RNA of Agelaius phoeniceus (red-winged blackbird), 413 nucleotides long. The record is from RefSeq and is a predicted model, not a curated record. Lineage: Eukaryota; Metazoa; Chordata; Aves; Passeriformes; Icteridae.
GGCCCCGCCCCGGCCCGCGGGGCCAUGGGGCGCCACCGCCCCAGGCCGAGCGCGGCGUUCGGCAGAGCCGGCGGGGCCCGGCAGGAGGUGCUGUCGCUCCGUGGAUGGAGCAACAAUCUGCUCUCUGGAAAUUGCUGCAAUGCUUGUCAAAAGUCACUGUUUUAUCCCAUAAUUUUCUGCAAGGAGCCAGCAAGAAGAGCACAGUGGAGGCCAAGCCAUCAGCAGCCCUCCUGAACCUCAGGCUGGAUUAAUUUAGUGGAUUGGAACUCCUCGUUACAGAAAUCUCUCCCCACUGACUUUUCCAUAUGUAAACAACCUAUACAGCAUUUUGUAAUGUAAAACAAAUGUGGUAAGUAGGUCCCACAUUAAAAAAUCAUUUUGAGUGGAAUGUCUGAAAUGCUCAGGGGAUUUUG